RNAcentral lists this ribosomal RNA (732 nucleotides) under uncultured Leptotrichia sp. RNAcentral's name for it is "bacterial SSU rRNA". It matches the Rfam family "Bacterial small subunit ribosomal RNA", at positions 28 to 776 of the family's 1533-position model. The record is from RNAcentral. Lineage: Bacteria; Fusobacteriati; Fusobacteriota; Fusobacteriia; Fusobacteriales; Leptotrichiaceae.
GAUGAACGCUGACAGAAUGCUUAACACAUGCAAGUCUUUGGCAAAGCUGUGCUUGCACAGUCUAGCCAAGGCGGACGGGUGAGUAACGCGUAAGGAACUUGCCCUGCAGUCAGGGAUAACAGACGGAAACGACUGAUAAAACCUGAUAAAGUCAGACGGACUCAUGUCUAGUCUGAUGAAAAGAAAUGCUGCAGGAGAGCCUUGCGUCCUAUUAGCUUGUUGGUGGGGUAACGGCCCACCAAGGCAAUGAUAGGUAGCCGGCCUGAGAGGGUGGACGGCCACAAGGGGACUGAGAUACGGCCCUUACUCCUACGGGAGGCAGCAGUGGGGAAUAUUGGACAAUGGGGGCAACCCUGAUCCAGCAAUUCUGUGUGCACGAAGAAGGUUUUCGGAUUGUAAAGUGCUUUCAGCAGGGAAGAAAAAAAUGACGGUACCUGCAGAAGAAGCGACGGCUAAAUACGUGCCAGCAGCCGCGGUAAUACGUAUGUCGCAAGCGUUAUCCGGAAUUAUUGGGCAUAAAGGGCAUCUAGGCGGCCAGAUAAGUCUGGGGUGAAAACUUGCGGCUCAACCGCAAGCCUGCCCUGGAAACUAUGUGGCUAGAGUACUGGAGAGGUGGACGGAACUGCACGAGUAGAGGUGAAAUUCGUAGAUAUGUGCAGGAAUGCCGAUGAUGAAGAUAGUUCACUGGACGGUAACUGACGCUGAAGUGCGAAAGCUAGGGGAGCAAACAGG